RNAcentral lists this ribosomal RNA (453 nucleotides) under Mycolicibacterium wolinskyi. Its description in RNAcentral is "bacterial SSU rRNA". It matches the Rfam family "Bacterial small subunit ribosomal RNA", at positions 89 to 556 of the family's 1533-position model. The record is from RNAcentral. Lineage: Bacteria; Bacillati; Actinomycetota; Actinomycetes; Mycobacteriales; Mycobacteriaceae.
GCUCGAGUGGCGAACGGGUGAGUAACACGUGGGUGAUCUGCCCUGCACUUUGGGAUAAGCCUGGGAAACUGGGUCUAAUACCGGAUAGGACCACGGUCUGCAUGGAUUGUGGUGGAAAGCUUUUGCGGUGUGGGAUGGGCCCGCGGCCUAUCAGCUUGUUGGUGGGGUGAUGGCCUACCAAGGCGACGACGGGUAGCCGGCCUGAGAGGGUGACCGGCCACACUGGGACUGAGAUACGGCCCAGACUCCUACGGGAGGCAGCAGUGGGGAAUAUUGCACAAUGGGCGCAAGCCUGAUGCAGCGACGCCGCGUGAGGGAUGACGGCCUUCGGGUUGUAAACCUCUUUCAGCACAGACGAAGCGCAAGUGACGGUAUGUGCAGAAGAAGGACCGGCCAACUACGUGCCAGCAGCCGCGGUAAUACGUAGGGUCCGAGCGUUGUCCGGAAUUACUG